Molecule: ribosomal RNA, 954 nt
Filed under: uncultured bacterium
Lineage: Bacteria
Description: bacterial SSU rRNA
Rfam family: Bacterial small subunit ribosomal RNA
Source: RNAcentral
UUUGAUCCUGGCUCAGAAUCAACGCUGGCGGCGUGCCUAACACAUGCAAGUCGAGCGCGAAAGGGGGGCAACUCCCAAGUAGAGCGGCGAACGGGUGAGUAACGCGUGGGUGAUCUACCUUCGAGUGGGGAACAACACCGGGAAACUGGUGCUAAUGCCGCAUGACAUCCUCGAGUCACAUCGGGGAUCAAAGCCGGGGACCGCAAGGCCUGGCGCUUGAAGAGGAGCCCGCGUCCGAUUAGCUAGUUGGCGGGGUAAUGGCCCACCAAGGCUCCGAUCGGUAGCCGGCCUGAGAGGGCGGACGGCCACACUGGGACUGAGACACGGCCCAGACUCCUACGGGAGGCAGCAGUGGGGAAUUUUUCGCAAUGGGGGAAACCCUGACGAAGCAACGCCGCGUGGAGGAUGAAGGCCUUCGGGUCGUAAACUCCUGUCGACCGGGACGAAAGUAGUCCGACCCAAUACGUCGGGCUAUCGACUGUACCGGUGGAGGAAGCCACGGCUAACUCUGUGCCAGCAGCCGCGGUAGUACAGAGGUGGCAAGCGUUGUUCGGAAUUACUGGGCGUAAAGGGCGCGUAGGCGGCUUUUCAAGUCCCGUGUGAAAUCCCUCGGCUCAACUGAGGAAUUGCACGGGAAACUGUCUGGCUUGAGUUCGGGAGAGGGAAGCGGAAUUCCGGGUGUAGCGGUGAAAUGCGUAGAUAUCCGGAGGAACACCGGUGGCGAAGGCGGCUUCCUGGACCGAUACUGACGCUGAGGCGCGAAAGCUAGGGGAGCAAACGGGAUUAGAUACCCCGGUAGUCCUAGCUGUAAACGAUGAGUGCUGGGUGUAGGGGGGUAUUAACCCCCCCCUGUGCCGAAGCUAACGCAUUAAGCACUCCGCCUGGGGAGUACGGUCGCAAGGCUGAAACUCAAGGAAUUUGACGGGGGCYCCGCACCAGCGGUGGAGCAUGUGG